AGAGUUUGAUCCUGGCUCAGAGCGAACGUUAGCGGCGCGCUUAAUACAUGCAAGUCGCACGAGAAAGCACCCUUCGGGGUGUGAGUAGAGUGGCGGACGGGUGCGUAACACGUAGGCAAUCUACCCUCAGGAGGGGGAUAACCACCCGAAAGGGUGGCUAAUACCGCAUAAGACCACAGUCACUUCGGUGACAGAGGUAAAAGCUGGCCUCUACUUGUAAGCUAGCACCUGGGGAUGAGCCUGCGGCCCAUCAGCUUGAUGGUAGGGUAACGGCCUACCAUGGCUAAGACGGGUAGCUGGUCUGAGAGGAUGAUCAGCCACACUGGUACUGGAACACGGACCAGACUCCUACGGGAGGCAGCAGUAGGGAAUAUUGGACAAUGGGCGCAAGCCUGAUCCAGCGACGCCGCGUGAGUGAUGAAGGCCUUCGGGUUGUAAGGCUCUGUUGAGGGAGAAGAAAACAGGCCGUUCGAAUAGGGCGUUUCUUGACGGUAUCCCUUUAGAAAGCACCGGCUAACU
Molecule: ribosomal RNA, 519 nt
Filed under: uncultured bacterium
Lineage: Bacteria
Description: bacterial SSU rRNA
Rfam family: Bacterial small subunit ribosomal RNA
Source: RNAcentral